Molecule: transfer RNA, 118 nt
Filed under: Lachnellula subtilissima
Lineage: Eukaryota; Fungi; Ascomycota; Leotiomycetes; Helotiales; Lachnaceae
Rfam family: tRNA
About the family: Transfer RNA (tRNA) molecules are approximately 80 nucleotides in length. Their secondary structure includes four short double-helical elements and three loops (D, anti-codon, and T loops). Further hydrogen bonds mediate the characteristic L-shaped molecular structure. tRNAs have two regions of fundamental functional importance: the anti-codon, which is responsible for specific mRNA codon recognition, and the 3' end, to which the tRNAs corresponding amino acid is attached (by aminoacyl-tRNA synthetases). tRNAs cope with the degeneracy of the genetic code in two manners: having more than one tRNA (with a specific anti-codon) for a particular amino acid; and 'wobble' base-pairing, i.e. permitting non-standard base-pairing at the 3rd anti-codon position.
Source: Rfam by way of RNAcentral
GGACAGAUGGCCGAGCUGGUUAUGGCGCCAGGUUAAGGUCAACUUAACACUUCUAAUAGUAUUAAUACUACUAUUCCUGGUCCAGAAAUGGGCGUGGGUUCGAGUCCCACUCUGUUCA